UACGGGGGGAGCAAGCGUUGUUCGGAUUUACUGGGCGUAAAGGGCGCGUAGGCGGCUCGGCACGUCCGUUGUGAAAUCGCCCGGCUCAACUGGGCGGGGUCAGCGGAUACGGUCGAGCUUGAGCAAGCUAGGGGGCAAUGGAAUUCCCGGUGUAGUGGUGGAAUGCGUAGAUAUCGGGAGGAACACCAGUGGCGAAGGCGGUUGCCUGGAGCUUUGCUGACGCUGAGGCGCGAAAGCGUGGGGAGCGAUCCGG
This 253-nucleotide ribosomal RNA is filed under the name uncultured bacterium. RNAcentral describes it as "partial 16S ribosomal RNA". It matches the Rfam family "Bacterial small subunit ribosomal RNA", at positions 524 to 776 of the family's 1533-position model. The record is from RNAcentral.